UAUGGCGAUAUCACGAUGAAACCCAGGUUCUUAUCAGAACACCAAAGUUAAGCAACGUCGAGUCUUCUCAGUACUCAAAUGGGUGACCGCUUGGGAAGACCAGGU
Non-coding RNA from Acanthosepion pharaonis, 105 nucleotides. The record is from the annotation of a GenBank genome assembly. Lineage: Eukaryota; Metazoa; Mollusca; Cephalopoda; Sepiida; Sepiidae.